RNAcentral lists this ribosomal RNA (1307 nucleotides) under Apilactobacillus kunkeei. RNAcentral describes it as "bacterial SSU rRNA". It matches the Rfam family "Bacterial small subunit ribosomal RNA", at positions 89 to 1383 of the family's 1533-position model. The record is from RNAcentral. Lineage: Bacteria; Bacillati; Bacillota; Bacilli; Lactobacillales; Lactobacillaceae.
GAGCGAGUGGCGAACUGGUGAGUAACACGUGGGUAACCUGCCCCGAAGCGGGGGAUAACAUUUGGAAACAAGUGCUAAUACCGCAUAAUUAGUUGGAACCGCAUGGUUCCAACUUGAAAGAUGGCUCUGCUAUCACUUUGGGAUGGACCCGCGCCGUAUUAGUUAGUUGGUGAGAUAAAAGCCCACCAAGACGAUGAUACGUAGCCGACCUGAGAGGGUAAUCGGCCACAUUGGGACUGAGACACGGCCCAGACUCCUACGGGAGGCAGCAGUAGGGAAUCUUCCACAAUGGACGAAAGUCUGAUGGAGCAACGCCGCGUGAGUGAUGAAGGUUUUCGGAUCGUAAAACUCUGUUGUUAAAGAAGAACAAGUGUUAGAGUAACUGUUAACACUUUGACGGUAUUUAACCAGAAAGCCACGGCUAACUACGUGCCAGCAGCCGCGGUAAUACGUAGGUGGCAAGCGUUGUCCGGAUUUAUUGGGCGUAAAGCGAGCGCAGGCGGUUUUGUAAGUCUGCUGUGAAAGCCCUCAGCUCAACUGAGGAAGUGCAGUGGAAACUACAAAACUUGAGUACAGAAGAGGAAAGUGGAACUCCAUGUGUAGCGGUGAAAUGCGUAGAUAUAUGGAAGAACACCAGUGGCGAAGGCGGCUUUCUGGUCUGUUACUGACGCUGAGGCUCGAAAGCAUGGGUAGCGAACAGGAUUAGAUACCCUGGUAGUCCAUGCCGUAAACGAUGAAUACUAGGUGUUGGAGGGUUUCCGCCCUUCAGUGCCGCAGCUAACGCAUUAAGUAUUCCGCCUGGGGAGUACGACCGCAAGGUUGAAACUCAAAGGAAUUGACGGGGGCCCGCACAAGUGGUGGAGCAUGUGGUUUAAUUCGAUGCUACGCGAAGAACCUUACCAGCUCUUGACAUCUUCUGCCAACCCAAGAGAUUGGGCGUUCCCUUCGGGGACAGAAUGACAGGUGGUGCAUGGUUGUCGUCAGCUCGUGUCGUGAGAUGUUGGGUUAAGUCCCGCAACGAGCGCAACCCUUAUUAUUAGUUGCCAGCAUUUAGUUGGGCACUCUAGUGAGACUGCCGGUGAUAAACCGGAGGAAGGUGGGGACGACGUCAAAUCAUCAUGCCCCUUAUGAGCUGGGCUACACACGUGCUACAAUGGAUGGUACAACGAGUCGCGAAACCGCGAGGUCAAGCUAAUCUCUUAAAGCCAUUCUCAGUUCGGAUUGCAGGCUGCAACUCGCCUGCAUGAAGUUGGAAUCACUAGUAAUCGUGGAUCAGCAUGCCACGGUGAAUACGUUCCCGGGCCUUG